UGUUGUGUUUGGUGCAAUUUGUUUGGCGCCGAUAAGUCGGUCUUACGGGAAUGUUUUCUCCUGGUGGUGGUCCAUCGUGAGAACAUUCCGGUGGACAUUCCGGCAGCGGAGACUCUAAAUUAUUACAAAAUUGGAGGCAGCGGCGAUCAUCAUCAUCAUCAUCAUCAUCGAUCGCAAGAAUAACUACAACCGAGGUGGUUGCUAACAGUCGCGACGGCGUUUGCAGUAGACACCCGGAUCAGCAGCAGCACCUGCAGUAGGAUUUGUUUCCCCAGGAUCAUUUGCCACAAAAUGAGUUUCCGGAAAGUGGUUGUGUCAGCCUUCCCGUCGGCAAACCUUUAACGAUGAUGGUCCCAGAGUUUUCGUGAUUACCGUCUGCCGGAGAACGACUUUGGCAUGAUCACCGGGCCAACGGAGGAUUUGACGGUGGAUACAGGAACGAUGCAAGUGGGUAGACGAUGAAAUGACUGCGACGGAAGAGGUCGAUCUACUCCCAAACUCGCUAACGCGCCGGACGAUGUUCUGUACUGCCUCCUCCCGAGCCAGGUGUGCAUCUCCCAGUUGCAGUCAGGCGUUUUGCGACAACGGCGUCGAAACGAAAAGUUCAAGUUCCGUCUGGAGAUUCCGACAAUUGAGCUGGAAGCCGCUAACGUUGCCGGUGCGGAUCGUACCCGAUCAGCGAUACGAAAACGUCCACCGAGCCCGAUACGUUCGAGAGUAGAAUUUGGCUAGGCCAUCUCGGAGUUGUAGGUGCUUCCCGGUGGUGAGUCCGAGUUCAACGAGAAGGCCACCUUCAUCUACGUGGCGUUAAAGAGACAAACGUUCCAAAUCAGGCCGGUCCACGAUUUAUGAAUGAAUUUGCUUUGAAAUAUAAACUAAGGUAUAAAAUA
Molecule: long non-coding RNA, 890 nt
Organism: Culex quinquefasciatus (southern house mosquito)
Lineage: Eukaryota; Metazoa; Arthropoda; Insecta; Diptera; Culicidae
Exons: 3
Source: RefSeq, a predicted model, not a curated record